AGUUAAAUAGCUUAGGCAAGCAUAUAUUUUGAAAAUAUAAGAGAAAGGUUUAACUCCUUUAUUAACUU
RNAcentral lists this transfer RNA (68 nucleotides) under Tapeinus singularis. RNAcentral describes it as "tRNA-Ser". It matches the Rfam family "tRNA". Rfam says of the family: Transfer RNA (tRNA) molecules are approximately 80 nucleotides in length. Their secondary structure includes four short double-helical elements and three loops (D, anti-codon, and T loops). Lineage: Eukaryota; Metazoa; Arthropoda; Insecta; Hemiptera; Reduviidae. The record is from RNAcentral.